This 215-nucleotide unclassified non-coding RNA is filed under the name soil metagenome. RNAcentral describes it as "partial contains 5.8S ribosomal RNA, internal transcribed spacer 2, and large subunit ribosomal RNA". The record is from RNAcentral.
AACGCACGAGACCUGCGGACCUGCGGAGGGAUCAUUACUGAGUUUCACAACUCUCUAACCCUGUGUGAACUGAAGUCUGGUUGCUCAGGCAGGCGGCCCCCGGGGGGAGCCGCAGCUUCUCUGAAGCGCCUGCCGGAGGAUACCUAAACUCGUUUUAACAUAUAAUCUUCUGAGUAAUAAAAAAAAUGAAUCAAAACUUUUAACAACGGAUCUCU